AUUGAACGCUGGCGGCAGUCAUCACACAUGCAAGUCGAACGAGUUCCGGCCGGGUGAGUACUGUCUGGGAAUCUGCCUGAUGGAGGGGGAUAACUACUGGAAACGGUAGCUAACACCCUCUACCAUCGGCUGUGCCCAGAUGGGAUUAGCUUGUGGGUGGGGUAACGGCUCCCCUAGGCGACGAUCCCUUGCGGGUCUGAGAGGAGGACCAGCCACACUGGAACUGAGAAACGGUCCAGACGACUACGGGAGGCAGACGUGGGGAAUAUAGCACAAGGGGCGCAAGCCGGAUGAAGCCAUGCCGCGUGUGUGAAGAAGGCCUUCGGGGUGUAAAGCACUUUCAGCGAGGAGGCGGUAAAAGCAGAAGAAGCACCGGAUAACUCCGUGCCAGAAGCCGCGGUAAUAC
This 406-nucleotide ribosomal RNA is filed under the name uncultured bacterium. RNAcentral's name for it is "partial 16S ribosomal RNA". It matches the Rfam family "Bacterial small subunit ribosomal RNA", at positions 29 to 526 of the family's 1533-position model. The record is from RNAcentral.